This 156-nucleotide unclassified non-coding RNA is filed under the name uncultured Herpotrichiellaceae. Its description in RNAcentral is "sequence contains ITS2". RNAcentral also lists the same sequence under 1 other name. Lineage: Eukaryota; Fungi; Ascomycota; Eurotiomycetes; Chaetothyriales; Herpotrichiellaceae. The record is from RNAcentral.
UCAAAGCAUCAAGCUUGGCUUGUCGUUGGGCCCUUUAUCACCCGGUGAUAGGUCCGAAAGAUAAUGAGCGGUGUCAUAAGGACCCUAUAUGCAACGAGCUUAUAACAGCACGCAUCUAGUGGUUGUAUGGCCCGGUUUACCCCUCUUAUUUCUCAA